AGUGAACGCUGGCGGUAGGCCUAACACAUGCAAGUCGAACGGCAGCACAGUAAGAGCUUGCUCUUACGGGUGGCGAGUGGCGGACGGGUGAGGAAUACAUCGGAAUCUACUUUCUCGUGGGGGAUAACGUAGGGAAACUUACGCUAAUACCGCAUACGACCUACGGGUGAAAGCAGGGGAUCUUCGGACCUUGCGCGAUUGAAUGAGCCGAUGUCGGAUUAGCUAGUUGGCGGGGUAAAGGCCCACCAAGGCGACGAUCCGUAGCUGGUCUGAGAGGAUGAUCGGCCACACUGGAACUGAGACACGGUCCAGACUCCUACGGGAGGCAGCAGUGGGGAAUAUUGGACAAUGGGCGCAAGCCUGAUCCAGCCAUACCGCGUGGGUGAAGAAGGCCUUCGGGUUGUAAAGCCCUUUUGUUGGGAAAGAAAAGCAGCAGGUUAAUACCCCGCUGUUCUGACGGUACCCAAAGAAUAAGCACCGGCUAACUUCGUG
This 492-nucleotide ribosomal RNA is filed under the name uncultured bacterium. RNAcentral's name for it is "partial 16S ribosomal RNA". It matches the Rfam family "Bacterial small subunit ribosomal RNA", at positions 29 to 507 of the family's 1533-position model. The record is from RNAcentral.